ACGGAAGGCAGCAGUGGGGAAUAUUGCAUAAUGGGGGAAACCCUGAUGCAGCGACGCCGCGUGGGUGAAGAAGUUUUUCGGAAUGUAAAGCCCUAUCAGCAGGGAAGAUAAUGACGGUACCUGACUAAGAAGCCCCGGCUAACUACGUGCCAGCAGCCGCGGUAAUACGUAGGGGGCAAGCGUUAUCCGGAUUUACUGGUGUAAAGGGAGCGUAGACGGAAUAGCAAGUCUGAAGUGAAAUGUAGGGGCUUAACCCCUGAACUGCUUUGGAAACUGUUGAUCUUGAGUACCGGAGGGGCAAGCGGAAUUCCUGGUGUAGCGGUGAAAUGCGUAGAUAUCAGGAAGAACACCGGUGGCGAAGGCGGCUUGCUGGACGGUAACUGACGUUGAGGCUCGAAAGCGUGGGGAGCAAACAGGAUUAGAUACCCUGGUA
Molecule: ribosomal RNA, 433 nt
Filed under: uncultured Lachnospiraceae bacterium
Lineage: Bacteria; Bacillati; Bacillota; Clostridia; Lachnospirales; Lachnospiraceae
Description: partial 16S ribosomal RNA
Rfam family: Bacterial small subunit ribosomal RNA
Source: RNAcentral